This 362-nucleotide ribosomal RNA is filed under the name uncultured eukaryote. RNAcentral's name for it is "partial 18S ribosomal RNA". It matches the Rfam family "Eukaryotic small subunit ribosomal RNA", at positions 592 to 976 of the family's 1831-position model. The record is from RNAcentral.
UAAUAGCGUAUAUUAAAAUUGUUGCAGUUAAAACGCUCGUAGUUGAAUAUCUGUCUACUAACGACUUGGUCCGCAUUGCGAGCACCAAGCGUUGGCGGCAUCCGUUUGCACGUUUAAUUUUAAUUAAGCUUGCAAACCGUUCACUUUGAGGAAAUUAGAGUGUUCAAAGCAGGCAUACGCCUUGAAUACUUCAGCAUGGAAUGAUCGAUAGGACUACCGUCCUAUCCGUUGGUUCUAGGGGCGCGAAGUAAUGAUAAACAGGGUCGGUUGGGGGCAUUCGUAUUGAACAGUCAGAGGUGAAAUUCUUAGAUUUGUUCAAGACGAACAACUGCGAAAGCAUUUGCCAAGGACGAUCCCAUUAA